RNAcentral lists this long non-coding RNA (431 nucleotides) under Malus domestica (apple). RNAcentral's name for it is "long non-coding RNA (MDOM_LNC021316)". The record is from RNAcentral. Lineage: Eukaryota; Viridiplantae; Streptophyta; Magnoliopsida; Rosales; Rosaceae.
GUAAUCAUUGGUCGUGCUUGUUGACUUUCCACAGUUUUCCUCUUGAACAGGGUGACACUUAGCUUUUUACUAUUUGAUGAUAUUGUACGGCGGAGCUUUGCUCUUUGGGAAUGUUGCAGUUCCUUAUUUGUUCUCCAAGCAGAUGUGGCAGCUUCUCUAGUUCCUCAGUUCGGACUCCUUCCGCUGGGAUGAUUGUGCAAGCUGCAUUCUUCUCUGCUUGUUUCUUCUGCACAACGGGCAGGCACGAGGGAAAGGUGUUGGUCCUUAUUUCUUUCUUCAAUCUUUCCAAGUGCCCACCUCUUGCUUUCUUUCUCCUUGUCCCUAGCUGAAUUGUCUCCACAUGCUUCGAGGUAUCAUUUUCACUUCCCUUACUACUGUCCCCCAGGCAGAUGUGGUAGACGAAAGAGAAAGCAUAAAAUGAUGAAGAUGAG